Alosa alosa (allis shad) is the source of this 113-nucleotide small nuclear RNA. RefSeq annotates it as U5 spliceosomal RNA. The transcript has a single exon. Lineage: Eukaryota; Metazoa; Chordata; Actinopteri; Clupeiformes; Clupeidae. The record is from RefSeq and is a predicted model, not a curated record.
UCGCUCGGGUUUCUCUUCAUCUCGCAUAAAUCUUUUAGCCUUUUACUAAAGAUUUCGCGGGAGGGGAACAGCCCUGAGUUCGGAUAUUUUGGGAAGCUCUGCUUCGCGGAGCU